CUUAGGUAGUGAAUAUUCCAUGAGGCCCACUUCAGGCUGAGUGUUUCCCAGUCUGCUCUCUUACAACUGUGCAUAAAUAACCCUGUGAUGUGAAAUAUCACCACUUUAUGAUACAGGAUAAUGCUACAAGAGAUCUUUCACUGAUGUAUCUUUGAGCUUGACAUUAAAUCAUGGAGUCCAGAAGGCAGUGGAUUACCAUAUUCAAGGUGCUGGAAGAAGAUAAUAUCAAC
Long non-coding RNA from Lutra lutra (Eurasian river otter), 230 nucleotides. RefSeq lists it as uncharacterized. The transcript is spliced from 3 exons. The record is from RefSeq and is a predicted model, not a curated record. NCBI's taxonomy places the organism in Eukaryota, Metazoa, Chordata, Mammalia, Carnivora, Mustelidae.